GUAGGUGAACCUGCGGAAGGAUCAUUACCGAGAUAUUUCUGUGCUUGUCAUGGAAUCUCCCACCCUUUGUGUUGCCUAAACUUUUUAUACUUUGGUGAAGCGAUUCUUUUUUUGGAUGUUUUUGGUGUCUUUAGUGUCUUUAUUGAUACAAAGUACAAAAUACAAAAAAGGCCAUUGACUCUUGAGAGAGAGUGGAUGAGUUCUUCGCCAAAGGACAAAACCAAUAACUCUUUUAUUAUUAUACUAUUGUCUGAGUUUAUAUUUUAAAUAAACAAAACUUUCAACAACGGAUCUCUUGGUUCUG
This 304-nucleotide unclassified non-coding RNA is filed under the name rhizosphere metagenome. RNAcentral's name for it is "partial ribosomal RNA internal transcribed spacer region". The record is from RNAcentral.